Molecule: ribosomal RNA, 511 nt
Filed under: Metarhizium robertsii
Lineage: Eukaryota; Fungi; Ascomycota; Sordariomycetes; Hypocreales; Clavicipitaceae
Description: eukaryotic LSU rRNA
Rfam family: 5.8S ribosomal RNA (bases 115-268)
Source: RNAcentral
CCCUGUGAAUUAUACCUUUAAUUGUUGCUUCGGCGGGACUUCGCGCCCGCCGGGGACCCAAACCUUCUGAAUUUUUUAAUAAGUAUCUUCUGAGUGGUUAAAAAAAUGAAUCAAAACUUUCAACAACGGAUCUCUUGGUUCUGGCAUCGAUGAAGAACGCAGCGAAAUGCGAUAAGUAAUGUGAAUUGCAGAAUUCAGUGAAUCAUCGAAUCUUUGAACGCACAUUGCGCCCGUCAGUAUUCUGGCGGGCAUGCCUGUUCGAGCGUCAUUACGCCCCUCAAGUCCCCUGUGGACUUGGUGUUGGGGAUCGGCGAGGCUGGUUUUCCAGCACAGCCGUCCCUUAAAUUAAUUGGCGGUCUCGCCGUGGCCCUCCUCUGCGCAGUAGUAAAACACUCGCAACAGGAGCCCGGCGCGGUCCACUGCCGUAAAACCCCCCAACUUUUUAUAGUUGACCUCGAAUCAGGUAGGACUACCCGCUGAACUUAAGCAUAUCAAUAAGCGGAGGAAAAGA